CAAAUAUGUGUAGAAACAGGUGCAGAUAACCUUCGUUAUUUGCUUAAAAGGGAAGUUCGGUUCGAAUCCGACGCUGUCCCGCAACUGUAAAUGAGAGCUAUUCGAAAAAAUACCACUGUUUUCAUUCAAAUGAAAAUGGGAAGGUUCGAAUCGCGAUGAUCAUGAGCCAGGAGACCUGCCUGUUUUAGCACACACAU
This 197-nucleotide non-coding RNA is filed under the name Brevibacillus laterosporus. Lineage: Bacteria; Bacillati; Bacillota; Bacilli; Caryophanales; Paenibacillaceae. RNAcentral also lists the same sequence under 1 other name. The record is from RNAcentral.